This 468-nucleotide ribosomal RNA is filed under the name uncultured bacterium. RNAcentral's name for it is "partial 16S ribosomal RNA". It matches the Rfam family "Bacterial small subunit ribosomal RNA", at positions 28 to 507 of the family's 1533-position model. The record is from RNAcentral.
GACGAACGCUGGCGGCGUGCUUAACACAUGCAAGUCGAACGGAAAGGCCCUGCUUUUGUGGGGUGCUCGAGUGGCGAACGGGUGAGUAACACGUGAGUAACCUGCCCUUGACUUUGGGAUAACUUCAGGUAACUGGGGCUAAUACCGGAUAGGAGCUCCUGCUGCAUGGUGGGGGUUGGAAAGUUUCGGCGGUUGGGGAUGGACUCGCGGCUUAUCAGCUUGUUGGUGGGGUAGUGGCUUACCAAGGCUUUGACGGGUAGCCGGCCUGAGAGGGUGACCGGCCACAUUGGGACUGAGAGACGGCCCAGACUCCUACGGGAGGCAGCAGUGGGGAAUAUUGCACAAUGGGCGGAAGCCUGAUGCAGCAACGCCGCGUGCGGGAUGACGGCUUUCGGGUUGUAAACCGCUUUCGCCUGUGACGAAGCGUGAGUGACGGUAAUGGGUAAAGAAGCACCGGCUAACUACGUG